This 71-nucleotide transfer RNA is filed under the name Chitala chitala (clown knifefish). RNAcentral's name for it is "tRNA-Arg". It matches the Rfam family "tRNA". From Rfam's summary of the family: Transfer RNA (tRNA) molecules are approximately 80 nucleotides in length. Lineage: Eukaryota; Metazoa; Chordata; Actinopteri; Osteoglossiformes; Notopteridae. The record is from RNAcentral.
AGGUAAUUAGUCCAAAGCAAAGACCUCUGAUUUCGGCUCAGAAAAUUGUGGUUCAACUCCACAAUCACCUU